Molecule: long non-coding RNA, 309 nt
Organism: Leopardus geoffroyi (Geoffroy's cat)
Lineage: Eukaryota; Metazoa; Chordata; Mammalia; Carnivora; Felidae
Exons: 3
Source: RefSeq, a predicted model, not a curated record
UUGGAAGACACACACAGAGUCCCUCCUGUCAUACUCCGUGGUUCUGGUCGUUGCACGUCGAUGGCGUGUUGUAAGAUGGGCUAUGUUGAUGUGACCAUCUGCUACAAUAAUGUUACCUUCCCCAUUGGGCUGUUGUGAGGAGCUAAUUAAUUAGGCGAUUCUUGCAAGGAACUUCAACCAGUGCCUGAGAAGCUGACAAAAUGAGGAUAUGAAGUCUUGUCUCAUUUCAGGUCGCCAAAAGGAGCUCCUGACUCGCCGGCCCCUCCAGCCCUCAGCUUUGUUUUCUUUCUCACCCACCAGCACACCUUC